AACGAACGCUGGCGGCAUGCCUAACACAUGCAAGUCGAACGAGACCUUCGGGUCUAGUGGCGCACGGGUGCGUAACGCGUGGGAACCUGCCCAGAGGUUCGGAAUAACUCCCCGAAAGGGGUGCUAAUACCGGAUAAUGUCUUCGGACCAAAGAUUUAUCGCCUUUGGAGGGGCCCGCGUUGGAUUAGCUAGUUGGUAGGGUAAAAGCCUACCAAGGCGAGGAUCCAUAGCUGGUCUGAGAGGAUGAUCAGCCACACUGGGACUGAGACACGGCCCAGACUCUUACGGGAGGCAGCAGUGGGUAAUAUUGGACAAUGGGCGAAAGGCUGAUCCAGCAAUGCCGCGUGAGUGAUGAAGGCCUUAGGGUUGUAAAGCUCUUUUACCCGGGAUGAUAAUGACAGUACCGGGAGAAUAAGCUCCGGCUAACUCCGUG
This 433-nucleotide ribosomal RNA is filed under the name uncultured bacterium. RNAcentral describes it as "partial 16S ribosomal RNA". It matches the Rfam family "Bacterial small subunit ribosomal RNA", at positions 29 to 507 of the family's 1533-position model. The record is from RNAcentral.